UGGGGAAUAUUGCACAAUGGGCGAAAGCCUGAUGCAGCCAUGCCGCGUGUGUGAAGAAGGCCUUAGGGUUGUAAAGCACUUUCAGCAGUGAGGAAAGGGUUGUAGUUAAUACCUGCAAUCUGUGACGUUAACUGCAGAAGAAGGACCGGCUAACUCC
Molecule: ribosomal RNA, 157 nt
Filed under: uncultured bacterium
Lineage: Bacteria
Description: partial 16S ribosomal RNA
Rfam family: Bacterial small subunit ribosomal RNA
Source: RNAcentral